Macaca mulatta (Rhesus monkey) is the source of this 148-nucleotide unclassified non-coding RNA. It matches the Rfam family "Metazoan signal recognition particle RNA". From Rfam's summary of the family: The signal recognition particle (SRP) is a universally conserved ribonucleoprotein. It is involved in the co-translational targeting of proteins to membranes. The eukaryotic SRP consists of a 300-nucleotide 7S RNA and six proteins: SRPs 72, 68, 54, 19, 14, and 9. NCBI's taxonomy places the organism in Eukaryota, Metazoa, Chordata, Mammalia, Primates, Cercopithecidae. The record is from Ensembl.
GCCAGGCGUGGUGGCGCACGCCUGUAAUCCCAGCUACUGAGGAGGCUGAGGCAGGAGAAUCGCUUGAACCUAGGAGCUGGAGGUUGCAGUGAGCUGAGAUUGCGCCACUGCACUCCAGACUGGGGGACAGAGCGAGAUUCUGUCUCAA